CCUACGGGUGGCUGCAGUGAGGAAUAUUGGACAAUGGACGCAAGUCUGAACCAGCCAUGCCGCGUGCAGGAAGACGCCCCUAUGAGCUGAAAACUGCUUUAGCACGAGGGAAAACCCCGAUACGUGUAUCUGACUCCCCGUCUCGCUCGAAUAAGGCACGGCCAACGCUGCGCCAGCAGCCGCGGUAAUACGGAUGUAUCAAGCGUUACCCGGAUUUAGGGGGUUAAAAGGGUGCGUAGGCGGUCAGAUAAGUUAGAGGUGAAAUCCCGGGGCUCAACUGCGGGAUUGCACUUGAUACUGUUUGGCUGGAGGGUAGGUGCGGUAGGCGGAAUGUAUGGUGUAGCGGUGAAAUGCGUAGAGAUCA
Molecule: ribosomal RNA, 364 nt
Filed under: uncultured bacterium
Lineage: Bacteria
Description: partial 16S ribosomal RNA
Rfam family: Bacterial small subunit ribosomal RNA
Source: RNAcentral